GCAGCAGCUCAAGGAGGUGACACGGAGGAAGGAGGGCCGGAGGAUACCGCCGGCUCCCCCAGCGCACGGUGCUUCCCACGCCCUUCUCCUUCGCAAGGCACCUGAGGAAUUCUUGCUCCCCUCUCUUUUCCCACCUGUCCUGCCCCCGCCACCAGCUAAGCCUCGUCUCUCCGGGCUCUCUCGGGCAGGUGGGAGGCAGACAUGCCCUACCUGUACCAGGACUCGAAGGCGCGGCCGGCCGCGCAUCCCGGGAAUGCCCGUGCCACGCACAGCUCGGGGAAGGGCUACGAGCAGCUGAAGCAGGAGUGCCUGCGCAGGGCCGUCCUCUUCGAGGACUCCGACUUCCCCGCCUGCAAUUCGUCUCUCUUCUUCAGUGAAAACCCACCCAUUCCCUUCGUCUGGAAGAGGCCUGGGGAGAUUGUAAAAGACCCCAAGUUUAUCCUUGGAGGAGCCACCAGAACUGACAUUUGUCAGGGGGAUCUUGGUGACUGCUGGCUAUUAGCAGCCAUAGCUUCUCUCACACUGAAUGAAAAAACACUAGCAAGAGUGGUGCCACUGGAUCAAAAUUUUGGGCCAGAUUAUGCUGGGAUAUUUCACUUCCAGUUUUGGCAGCACAACGAGUGGCUGGAUGUCGUGAUUGAUGACCGAUUACCCACUUUCAAGGGCCGGCUGGUUUUCCUGCACUCAGCUGAACUCAAUGAAUUUUGGAGUGCCUUACUAGAGAAAGCCUAUGCCAAGUUGAAUGGCAGCUACGAGUCUCUGAAGGGUGGCAGUACAAUAGAGGCCAUGGAGGAUUUCACUGGGGGUAUAGGAGAAAUGUACGAUGUUAAGGCGGCUCCUGACAAUUUCUAUGAAAUCCUAGAAAAAGCCUUGAAAAGAUGCUCAAUGGUGGGCUGCUCUAUUGAUACCAGCAGUGCUGCCGAGUCAGAAGCCCGAACCCCGUUUGGCCUUGUGAAAGGCCAUGCAUACUCUGUGACUGGCAUGGAGGAGGUGAGCUAUAGGGGCCGGCAAGUGCAGCUCAUAAGGAUCAGGAACCCCUGGGGACAGGUGGAGUGGAACGGCCCUUGGAGUGACAACUCUGCAGAGUGGCACUCAGUCAGCCCAUCGGAGCAGAGACGCCUGUCUCAGGCAGCACGGGAUGAUGGAGAGUUCUGGAUGAAGUUUGAAGACUUCAAAGUGCAUUUUGACAAAGUUGAGAUCUGCAACCUGACUCCAGAUGCCCUAGAAGACAGCACUGCCCACAAAUGGGAAGUGACCAUCCACCAGGGAAGCUGGGUCCGUGGAGCCACCGCAGGAGGAUGUAGAAAUUUCCUAGAAACUUUCUGGACAAAUCCACAAAUCAAGCUGCAUUUGACAGAGAGGGACGAUGGACAAGAUGACUGCACGUUCAUAGCGGCACUGAUGCAAAAGGGUCGCCGCAAACUCAAGAAGCUUGGAGCUGAAAUGCUGACCAUUGGCUACUCUAUUUAUGAGAGCCCUGGCAGAGAUGGACACUUGGGCAAAGACUUCUUCAGGUACCACCCCUCCAAGGCCAGGAGCAAAACCUACAUCAAUUUAAGGGAAGUAUCCCACCGAUUCAAGCUGCCACCGGGUGAUUACAUUCUUAUUCCAACCACAUUUGAGCCGCACCAGGAGGCAGAUUUCUGCCUGAGGAUCUUCUCUGAGAAGAAGGCCAUCACUGAGGAUCUAGAUGAAAAUGUUGCCAUUGAUCUCCCAGAGCCUCUACACCCAACCCCAAACCCACAAGAAACUGAAGAGGAAAAGCAGUUCCGGGCACUGUUUGAGCAGAUCUCGGGAAAGGACAUGGAGAUCUCUGCAGAAGAACUUGAAUAUGUUCUGAAUGCUGUAUUAAAAAAAACAAAGAACAUAAAAUUCAAGAACUUAAGUCUCAUUUCAUGCCGAAAUAUCAUUUCUCUUAUGGAUACCAGUGGCAACGGGAAACUGGAAUUCAGUGAGUUCAAAGUUUUCUGGGAAAAAAUGAAGAAAUGGAUAAGUAUCUUCCUUCAAUUUGACUUUGAUAAAUCUGGCUCCAUGUCCUCUUAUGAGCUUCGUGGGGCUCUUAAAGCUGCAGGUAAGGCAAGCACUGCAUUUUAUCCUGUAAACCUGUUGGGCAGAUCAGCGUGGGUGAAGAGGACAAUCACACAGGCUCCUGAACAAGAAGGAGGUCUAAACCCCAGAGAGAACCCGGGCACACUGAGUAGGGUAAUUUUGCCCCAGGUACCCCAAGUCCUGAAGGGCAGGCAGUCAGAACAAUCUCUGUAUUUUAUUGAGCUAUGUUAAACCCAACAGGGCUGAACGUGUGUGGGGUUAGACCUUGAAACAGAUCACUUCAGAGUCCAUGUACAUUCAAGGGUUGAAGGAGUAGUGAGAAAUCUGCUAUGAAGAGCAAUCUCUGCAUCAGUAUUUCAUCACAACUUGUUUUUAUUAAAGCAGAUAAUUUUUCAGAAAUCCCUCCAAAUUUGAGAAGAUAGAAUGGUCUCUCAUACGUCACAGUGUGGCAUGGACUAGAAACUGCAGUGCCUGGAAAAUUUCUUGUUCAGGGUUUGUUAUUCAUUGCAGGCUUAAGGAACUUGGUGGUUAGAUCUCUUUCUGGAUGGAUAUGUGCCACGGAGUAUCCUCCCAUUAAGUGGUUUUCAAGAUUAGUUACUAGAGAUCUGUAGAUUCCCCCUGAUGUGUGAGGUUGCUCACUUCUACUUUGUGUGUGUCUCUGGGAAGGAUACCAGCUCAACAAUUACCUGCUGCAACUGAUUGUCCUCCGAUACUCUGAUGAGCAGUUCCAGAUUGAAUUUGAUGAUUUUCUGAACUGCCUAAUACGCCUGGAGAAUGCGAGUCGAGUAUUCCAAGCACUGAGUGCGAAAAACAAGGACUUCAUUAACCUGAAUAUAGGCGAGUUUAUCAACUUGGCAAUGAACAUCUGAAGAAGUUUGAUUUGGAUGCCAGGAGUUUCUUGCGACUUUGCUGCCGAGACUUUUGCCCCAAGAGCUGGGGUCCCCUUCACAUGCAAACUUCACCAGGAGAUUUCCUGCAGAGAAACAUGAAUGCUGCCCCCCCUUUCUGUUCUCCAACCCUGUGGAUGAGUUUAAGUGUCAGAUCAUGUGUUUUUUUGGUAGAGCCUGAGACUGGAUUUGGCACUGAGCAUUUGGAUGUGGUACACAUUCCUCUCAAGCAGGCUGAAGCUGUUGUUCCUGAGUGACCACAGGUUUUUAUGAAAUAGGAUUGUGUUUGCUUUCAGCAUAGCACAGACUACAGUGAUUAAAAGUCUUUAUUGCUGCUUGGCUACUGAUUACUGUAAGGUCCUUUUGAAAAUACAAGGUUGCAUAAAACUUGUUCAGUUUAUAAUUUAUUUCCAGGCAUUAUGUGUGGCUACAUGACAAGUACCCUGUUGUAGCCACAUGCAUUGCAGUCUGGUGAGCUGUAGGGACUGUAUGGAAGAAAAUUCACUUCUUAAUAAUUGUGGUCCCAGGUCCAGGGUUCCUUAGAGGGAUGCUUAAGAAAAGGUUUGACAUUCAUCAUAGAUAUGCUUUAGGGAAAAAUGAUUGCAUCUCACCUUUUCUUAGUUCUUCCUCUGCUACCAACAAAAUUCCUCUCUUCACAUUUUGCUGUGUAGCCAGAGUGUCCCACAGGCCUGCCUCUGUAGAGCUGCACACAGUUUGUCAUUGUCUUCAGAGAAACACAUGGCCUCUCAGACACUGAGCACUUGCAUGGGGCUGUUUUCCUCCAGGCAGUCCAAGAUUGUGUCCCACACCAGCCAUGCGCCAGAAGAACAACUGUAAUCAUUUCAGAUUAACUAAAUGUACCCAUUGGUAGCAUCCUGAUCUCUGCAGAUGCUACUUUGCAUCUGUGACUUAUACAGUACUAUCCAUGUGAUGUGGGUAGGCAGUGCUGACUUAAAAAAUAACAGUAAUAGCAACCAGGGACUUAAGAGGUCUUCAUAGGAUUUGUUUCCAUGAUAAUCUUCAUAACUUAUGUCUAUUUUAUAGUGAAUCAGCUGUCUGGCUUUGUUUUCUAAAACCUUUCUUGCAGUGUAACAUAUGGCCCUAGGCUAGCCUUGCAUCCCCUACUGUCUGGGAUCACUGAGACAGACAGGGUUUUGUUUUCUCUAGAUUUAGACCUAAUGAACAAUUCAGGAAAGAAAAUCAAGCUGCAGUAAAGGUGAAGCUCAAACAAUGAAAAAACAUACAAAUCAUGGUGUAUAAAAUACUAACUUUCAUUUUUUUCUAUCAAUUAUAAUAUUGUAACUAUGCAGAAAAUACUCUGGAGCUAGCUGGGAGCUGAGCAAAAGCUGAUGGUUGCAGUAUUUGAUUAACUGAGGUACUCAGCCCCAUGAGGUGUAUUGAUUUUCAGAUGUGCUGAUUGUUUGCCCUUUUACAGCACCAGAGACAGCUGUCCAAAUCUGUGAAAGUUUGGAUUAAAAUCAAGACUGUCCUAUGAACAUUCAACCACACUCUUGAAACAAACAAACAAACAAACAAAAAAACCCCACAAUUGGAAAUCCUUAACCGGUUCACUGUACAAGCUUAGAUGUAGAUACAAAUUUGUUGUAAUGUACCACUGUUCACAUGCAGAAGAAAAGAAAUGUCUCAAUACCUAGCAUUACCAGUGUAGCUUUCUGUUUCUCUCCACAGAGCUGGUGCUGUCUUGAGAAAUCAGGAUUGCUAUACAAAAAUUAUAAAUAAAGGUGGAAGCAAUGAGGUACAGGCAAAAAUAUUCUUGGCUUUAAAAACAAAAUUAAUGCAUUUAAGAAAAGAAACACCCUGAGGAGUUUUCUGCCCACUCGGAGCAGUUGCCUGCUGACUGUACCAAAAGGAACCUGAGAGAUAACAUCAGAGUUCUUUAGGAAUCAGCCUCUUUCUUGGGCAGCCAGCUCUCUGCAGACAGCCUGGUCCCAGUCCUGCCUUGGGACUUACACAACACCCACAGCAGAGGGCACAGAAGGGGGUUAAGCACACGAGAACCUGUGGGUACAACCAGGCUGGCUGUACCAUGGCCACUCAAACUCUGUUGCGGCACAGUCCCCAUCUCGCCACUUGGCCUGUAAGGAUGUUACAGGUGCCUGUGCUGAAAGCCUUGCCAAUAUCAAGGUGUAGAACAGCAAUUGCUCCCCCUUGUCCUGAGUGUUAGACCACUUCCUUUCUGCACCGGAGCACGGCCCACCUUAAAAAGGGAAGAGUAACUCUGGCAGUAACUUUUGCAGCAGCGAGGUGGAGGAUUAUAUAAUCCCUGGUGAGGUGGGGUUUUUGUGUGCUAUUACACUUAGAGGGACUGAGUG
Molecule: RNA transcript, 5269 nt
Organism: Parus major (Great Tit)
Lineage: Eukaryota; Metazoa; Chordata; Aves; Passeriformes; Paridae
Gene: CAPN9
Gene name: calpain 9
Exons: 19
Source: RefSeq, a predicted model, not a curated record